RNAcentral lists this ribosomal RNA (435 nucleotides) under uncultured bacterium. Its description in RNAcentral is "bacterial SSU rRNA". It matches the Rfam family "Bacterial small subunit ribosomal RNA", at positions 355 to 786 of the family's 1533-position model. The record is from RNAcentral.
UGAGGAAUAUUGGUCAAUGGGCGCGAGCCUGAACCAGCCAAGUCGCGUGAGGGAUGAAGGUUCUAUGGAUCGUAAACCUCUUUUAUAAGGGAAUAAAGUGCGGGACGUGUCCCGUUUUGUAUGUACCUUAUGAAUAAGGAUCGGCUAACUCCGUGCCAGCAGCCGCGGUAAUACGGAGGAUCCGAGCGUUAUCCGGAUUUAUUGGGUUUAAAGGGUGCGUAGGCGGCCUUUUAAGUCAGCGGUGAAAGUCUGUGGCUCAACCAUAGAAUUGCCGUUGAAACUGGGGGGUCUUGAGUAUGUUUGAGGCAGGCGGAAUGCGUGGUGUAGCGGUGAAGUGCAUAGAUAUCACGCAGAACCCCGAUUGCGAAGGCAGCCUGCCGGCUCCAGACUGACGCUGAGGCACGAAAGCGUGGGUAUCGAACAGGAUUAGAUACC